AUAUUAAUAAGCGGAGGAAAAGAAACUAACCAGGAUUCCCCUAGUAACGGCGAGUGAAGCGGGAUGAGCUCAAGCUUAAAAUCUCUGUGCCAGUUUGGCAUGGCGAAUUGUAGUCUAUAGAGGCGUUGUCAGUGCAGCUGUGCGGGGUAAGUUCCUUGGAAGAGGACAGCAUCGAGGGUGAUACUCCCGUUUGUACCUGUGCGGCUUGCGCGUACGACACGUUUUCUUCGAGUCGCGUUGUUUGGGACUGCAGCGCAAAGUAGGUGGUAAAUUUCAUCUAAAGCUAAAUAUUGGCCAGAGACCGAUAGCGCACAAGUAGAGUGAUCGAAAGAUGAAAAGCACUUUGAAAAGAGAGUUAAACAGUAUGUGAAAUUGUUGAAAGGGAAGCGCUUGCAACCAGACUUGUGUUUAAUGGUUCUCUCAAUCUUUUGAUUGGGCUAUUCCAUUAUAUCCAGGCCAGCAUCGGUUCAGGUGGUUAGUUAAAGACUUUAGGAAUGUAUCUACCUUCGGGUCGACUUAUAGCUUAGAGUGUAAUGUGACCUACUUGGACCGAGGAACGCGCAUUUUUGCUCGGAUGCUGGCGUAAUGGUUGUAAGCGG
This 599-nucleotide ribosomal RNA is filed under the name uncultured fungus. RNAcentral describes it as "eukaryotic LSU rRNA". It matches the Rfam family "Eukaryotic large subunit ribosomal RNA", at positions 40 to 647 of the family's 3401-position model. The record is from RNAcentral. Lineage: Eukaryota; Fungi.